AGCGAACGCUGGCGGCAGGCUUAACACAUGCAAGUCGAACGGGCAUCUUCGGAUGUCAGUGGCAGACGGGUGAGUAACACGUGGGAACGUACCCUUCGGUUCGGAAUAACUCAGGGAAACUUGAUCUAAUACCGGAUACGCCCUUUUGGGGAAAGGUUUACUGCCGAAGGAUCGGCCCGCGUCUGAUUAGCUUGUUGGUGGGGUAACGGCCUACCAAGGCGACGAUCAGUAGCUGGUCUGAGAGGAUGAUCAGCCACACUGGGACUGAGACACGGCCCAGACUCCUACGGGAGGCAGCAGUGGGGAAUAUUGGACAAUGGGCGCAAGCCUGAUCCAGCCAUGCCGCGUGAGUGAUGAAGGCCUUAGGGUUGUAAAGCUCUUUUGUCCGGGACGAUAAUGACGGUACCGGAAGAAUAAGCCCCGGCUAACUUCGUG
Molecule: ribosomal RNA, 435 nt
Filed under: uncultured bacterium
Lineage: Bacteria
Description: partial 16S ribosomal RNA
Rfam family: Bacterial small subunit ribosomal RNA
Source: RNAcentral